This 788-nucleotide ribosomal RNA is filed under the name uncultured bacterium. RNAcentral's name for it is "bacterial SSU rRNA". It matches the Rfam family "Bacterial small subunit ribosomal RNA", at positions 8 to 794 of the family's 1533-position model. The record is from RNAcentral.
AGAGUUUGAUCCUGGCUCAGGAUGAACGCUGGCGGCGUGCUUAACACAUGCAAGUCGAACGAAGCACUUUAUUUGAUUUCUUCGGAAUGAAGAUUUUGUGACUGAGUGGCGGACGGGUGAGUAACGCGUGGGUAACCUGCCUCAUACAGGGGGAUAACAGUUGGAAACGACUGCUAAUACCGCAUAAGCGCACAGGGUCGCAUGACCUGGUGUGAAAAACUCCGGUGGUAUGAGAUGGACCCGCGUCUGAUUAGCCAGUUGGUGGGGUAACGGCCUACCAAAGCGACGAUCAGUAGCCGACCUGAGAGGGUGACCGGCCACAUUGGGACUGAGACACGGCCCAAACUCCUACGGGAGGCAGCAGUGGGGAAUAUUGCACAAUGGGGGAAACCCUGAUGCAGCGACGCCGCGUGAGCGAAGAAGUAUUUCGGUAUGUAAAGCUCUAUCAGCAGGGAAGAAGAAAUGACGGUACCUGACUAAGAAGCACCGGCUAAAUACGUGCCAGCAGCCGCGGUAAUACGUAUGGUGCAAGCGUUAUCCGGAUUUACUGGGUGUAAAGGGAGCGCAGGCGGUACGGCAAGUCUGAUGUGAAAGCCCGGGGCUCAACCCCGGUACUGCAUUGGAAACUGUCGGACUAGAGUGUCGGAGGGGUAAGUGGAAUUCCUAGUGUAGCGGUGAAAUGCGUAGAUAUUAGGAGGAACACCAGUGGCGAAGGCGGCUUACUGGACGAUUACUGACGCUGAGGCUCGAAAGCGUGGGGAGCAAACAGGAUUAGAUACCCUGGUAGU